RNAcentral lists this ribosomal RNA (525 nucleotides) under uncultured bacterium. RNAcentral describes it as "partial 16S ribosomal RNA". It matches the Rfam family "Bacterial small subunit ribosomal RNA", at positions 355 to 874 of the family's 1533-position model. The record is from RNAcentral.
CUAAGAAUAUUCCGCAAUGGACGGAAGUCUGACGGAGCGACGCCGCGUGGAUGAAGAAGGCCGAAAGGUUGUAAAGUUCUUUUGCUGGGGAAGAAUAACCGCAGGAGGGAAUGCCUGUGGGAUGACAAGAACCGGCGAAUAAGCCCCGGCCAACUACGUGCCAGCAGCCGCGGUAACACGUAGGGGGCGAGCGUUGUUCGGAAUUACUGGGCGUAAAGGGCAUGUAGGCGGCUUGGAAAGCCUGGCGUGAAAGUCUGCAGCUUAACUGCAGGGGUGCGCUGGGAACUGCUGAGCUUGAGUGACGGAGAGGGAGCUGGAAUUCCUGGUGUAGGGGUGAAAUCUGUAGAUAUCAGGAAGAACACCGAUGGCGAAGGCAAGCUCCUGGCCGAUGACUGACGCUGAGGUGCGAAAGUGCGGGGGAUCAAACAGGAUUAGAUACCCUGGUAGUCCACACAGUCAACGAUGUGCACUAGGUGCUGGGGCGGUAGCUUCGGUGCCGGAGCGAACGUGGUAAGUGCACCGCCU